This 29-nucleotide non-coding RNA is filed under the name Bombyx mori (domestic silkworm). The record is from RNAcentral. Lineage: Eukaryota; Metazoa; Arthropoda; Insecta; Lepidoptera; Bombycidae.
UACUUUGGCACUGUGUCUAAAUCCCAUGC